Molecule: ribosomal RNA, 490 nt
Filed under: uncultured bacterium
Lineage: Bacteria
Description: partial 16S ribosomal RNA
Rfam family: Bacterial small subunit ribosomal RNA
Source: RNAcentral
AGUGAACGCUGGCGGCAGGCCUAAUACAUGCAAGUCGAACGGCAGCACAGCAGGGCUUGCUCUGUGGGUGGCGAGUGGCGGACGGGUGAGGAAUACAUGGGAAUCUGCCCAGUCGUGGGGGAUAACGUAUGGAAACGUACGCUAAUACCGCAUGCGCCCUUUGGGGGAAAGCCGGGGACCUUCGGGCCUGGCGCGAUUGGAUGAGCCCAUGUUCGAUUAGCUAGUUGGCGGGGUAAAGGCCCACCAAGGCGACGAUCGAUAGCUGGUCUGAGAGGAUGAUCAGCCACACUGGGACUGAGACACGGCCCAGACUCCUACGGGAGGCAGCAGUAGGGAAUAUUGGACAAUGGGCGCAAGCCUGAUCCAGCCAUGCCGCGUGAGUGAAGAAGGCCCUCGGGUUGUAAAGCUCUUUUGUCCGGAAAGAAAAGCAUUCGGUUAAUACCCGGGUGUUCUGACGGUACCGGAAGAAUAAGCACCGGCUAACUUCGUG